Non-coding RNA from Trichonephila clavipes, 73 nucleotides. The record is from the annotation of a GenBank genome assembly. NCBI's taxonomy places the organism in Eukaryota, Metazoa, Arthropoda, Arachnida, Araneae, Nephilidae.
AUCCCUGUAGCGCAAUGAACAGCGCGUUGGUCCUCUAAUCUAAAGAUCGUGGGCUCGAAUCCCAUCUAGGAUG